AUGCCGCGUGUGUGAAGAAGGCCUUUUGGUUGUAAAGCACUUUAAGCGAGGAGGAGGCUACCGAGAUUAAUACUCUUGGAUAGUGGACGUUACUCGCAGAAUAAGCACCGGCUAACUCUGUGCCAGCAGCCGCGGUAAUACAGAGGGUGCGAGCGUUAAUCGGAUUUACUGGGCGUAAAGCGUGCGUAGGCGGCUUUUUAAGUCGGAUGUGAAAUCCCUGAGCUUAACUUAGGAAUUGCAUUCGAUACUGGGAAGCUAGAGUAUGGGAGAGGAUGGUAGAAUUCCAGGUGUAGCGGUGAAAUGCGUAGAGAUCUGGAGGAAUACCGAUGGCGAAGGCAGCCAUCUGGCCUAAUACUGACGCUGAGGUACGAAAGCAUGGGGAGCAAACAGGAUUAGAUACCCUGGUAGUCCAUGCCGUAAACGAUGUCUACUAGCCGUUGGGGCCUUUGAGGCUUUAGUGGCGCAGCUAACGCGAUAAGUAGACCGCCUGGGGAGUACGGUCGCAAGACUAAAACUCAAAUGAAUUGACGGGGGCCCGCACAAGCGGUGGAGCAUGUGGUUUAAUUCGAUGCAACGCGAAGAACCUUACCUGGUCUUGACAUAGUAAGAACUUUCCAGAGAUGGAUUGGUGCCUUCGGGAACUUACAUACAGGUGCUGCAUGGCUGUCGUCAGCUCGUGUCGUGAGAUGUUGGGUUAAGUCCCGCAACGAGCGCAACCCUUUUCCUUAUUUGCCAUCGGGUUAAGCCGGGACUUUAAGGAUACUGCCAGUGACAAACUGGAAGAAGGCGGAGACGACGUCAAGUCAUCAUGGCCCUUACGACAGGGCUACACACGUGCUACAUGGUCGGAACAAGGGGUGCUACCUAGCGAUAGGAUGCUAUCUCAAAAGCGAUCGUACUCCGGAUGGAGUCUGCACUCGACUCGAUGAAGUCAGAAUCGCUAGUAUCGCAGAACAAUGCGCGGAGAAUACUCCCGGCGUG
This 981-nucleotide ribosomal RNA is filed under the name Acinetobacter johnsonii. Its description in RNAcentral is "bacterial SSU rRNA". It matches the Rfam family "Bacterial small subunit ribosomal RNA", at positions 394 to 1378 of the family's 1533-position model. The record is from RNAcentral. Lineage: Bacteria; Pseudomonadati; Pseudomonadota; Gammaproteobacteria; Moraxellales; Moraxellaceae.